CAGUAGCCGCGGUAAUACGAAGGGUGCAAGCGUUACUCGGAAUUACUGGGCGUAAAGCGUGCGUAGGUGGUUGUUUAAGUCUGCUGUGAAAGCCCUGGGCUCAACCUGGGAAUUGCAGUGGAUACUGGGCAACUAGAGUAAGGUAGAGGAUAGUGGAAUUUCCGGUGUAGCAGUGAAAUGCGUAGAGAUCGGAAGGAACAUCUGUGGCGAAGGCGACUAUCUGGGCCAUUACUGACACUGAGGCACGAAAGCGUGGGGAGCAAACAGGAUUAGAUACCCCCGUAGUCCCUGUCUCUUAUAU
Molecule: ribosomal RNA, 301 nt
Filed under: uncultured bacterium
Lineage: Bacteria
Description: partial 16S ribosomal RNA
Rfam family: Bacterial small subunit ribosomal RNA
Source: RNAcentral